UACGUAGGUGACAAGCGUUGUUCGGAGUUACUGGGCGUAAAGGGCUCGUAGGCUGCCAACUAAGUCAGACGUGAAAUCCCUCGGCUUAACCGGGGAACUGCGUCUGAUACUGGAUGGCUUGAGAUUGGGAGAGGGAUGCGGAAUUCCAGGUGUAGCGGUGAAAUGCGUAGAUAUCUGGAGGAACACCGGUGGCGAAGGCGGCAUCCUGGACCAACACUGACGCUGAGGAGCGAAAGCCAGGGGAGCAAACGGG
RNAcentral lists this ribosomal RNA (253 nucleotides) under uncultured bacterium. RNAcentral describes it as "partial 16S ribosomal RNA". It matches the Rfam family "Bacterial small subunit ribosomal RNA", at positions 524 to 776 of the family's 1533-position model. The record is from RNAcentral.